RNAcentral lists this ribosomal RNA (450 nucleotides) under uncultured Glomus. Its description in RNAcentral is "SSU rRNA". It matches the Rfam family "Eukaryotic small subunit ribosomal RNA", at positions 569 to 1024 of the family's 1831-position model. Lineage: Eukaryota; Fungi; Glomeromycota; Glomeromycetes; Glomerales; Glomeraceae. The record is from RNAcentral.
AGCAGCCGCGGUAAUUCCAGCUCCAAUAGCGUAUAUUAAAGUUGUUGCAGUUAAAAAGCUCGUAGUUGAAUUUCGGGAUCAAUAUGUCGGUCGUGCCUCGGUACGUACUGGCAUCAUUGGUUUCUCCCUUCUGAUGAACCAUGAUGCCAUUAAUUUGGUGUCGUGGGGAAUCAGGACUGUUACUUUGAAAAAGUUAGAGUGUUUAAAGCAGGCUCACGCUUGAAUACAUUAGCAUGGAAUAAUGAAAUAGGACGUUUGAUUCUAUUUUGUUGGUUUCUAGGAUCGACGUAAUGAUUAAUAGGGAUAGUUGGGGGCAUUAGUAUUCAAUUGUCAGAGGUGAAAUUCUUGGAUUUAUUGAAGACUAACUACUGCGAAAGCAUUUGCCAAGGAUGUUUUCAUUAAUCAAGAACGAAAGUUAGGGGAUCGAAGACGAUCAGAUACCGUCGUAGU